RNAcentral lists this long non-coding RNA (268 nucleotides) under Sorghum bicolor (sorghum). RNAcentral describes it as "long non-coding RNA (SBIC_LNC016006)". The record is from RNAcentral. Lineage: Eukaryota; Viridiplantae; Streptophyta; Magnoliopsida; Poales; Poaceae.
CUGAAUGUAUGUCGGUUUUAGGGGCAUGGUUCCGAAUACGAGCUGAUAGGUGACUGGCGGCCAUUAUGUUGACGCCUGACCCGGUGUCGCAAAGCAUCUUCUGGAAGUUGUAUCCAUCAAUGGAGCACUGGAUGCUUGGCAUACUUGGGUCGUCCUUUUUGGUUAGGAACGGUGACUUAAGUCGACGAUCUUGACCUCCUUGAACUGCAGUGACCAUCUUUGCUGACUUGGUCCACAUUUGCUUGUUCCUGUUCCUCCUGUUGGUCCU